Lingula anatina is the source of this 307-nucleotide long non-coding RNA. Lineage: Eukaryota; Metazoa; Brachiopoda; Lingulata; Lingulida; Lingulidae. The record is from RefSeq and is a predicted model, not a curated record.
AUAUAAGGAGCAGGAAGGCAAGUCUGAUGGUACCGAGACAACCAGUAAUGUUAACCAGAAGUUAUAUUACCACAGACUGGGGACAUCACAGGAAGAGGAUGUGCUCUGUGCCGAGUUUCCAGAUCACCCAAAAUGGAUGAUAGGUGCUGAGGUGACGGACUGUGGUCGUUAUUUGGUGAUGAUGAUCAGUGAAGGCUGCCACCCAGUCAACAGGCUGUACUAUGUAGAUCUACAGGCACUUCCAGAUGGCAUUAAUGGUGUGCUUCCUUACGUAAAAUUGGUGGAUAACUUUGAUGCUGAAUAUGAG